Molecule: ribosomal RNA, 765 nt
Filed under: uncultured Streptococcus sp.
Lineage: Bacteria; Bacillati; Bacillota; Bacilli; Lactobacillales; Streptococcaceae
Description: bacterial SSU rRNA
Rfam family: Bacterial small subunit ribosomal RNA
Source: RNAcentral
GAUGAACGCUGGCGGCGUGCCUAAUACAUGCAAGUAGAACGCUGAAGCUUGGUGCUUGCACCGAGCGGAUGAGUUGCGAACGGGUGAGUAACGCGUAGGUAACCUGCCUGGUAGCGGGGGAUAACUAUUGGAAACGAUAGCUAAUACCGCAUAACAGUAGAUAUUGCAUGAUAUCUGCUUGAAAGGUGCAAUUGCAUCACUACCAGAUGGACCUGCGUUGUAUUAGCUAGUUGGUGAGGUAACGGCUCACCAAGGCGACGAUACAUAGCCGACCUGAGAGGGUGAUCGGCCACACUGGGACUGAGACACGGCCCAGACUCCUACGGGAGGCAGCAGUAGGGAAUCUUCGGCAAUGGGGGGAACCCUGACCGAGCAACGCCGCGUGAGUGAAGAAGGUUUUCGGAUCGUAAAGCUCUGUUGUAAGAGAAGAACGAGUGUGAGAGUGGAAAGUUCACACUGUGACGGUAUCUUACCAGAAAGGGACGGCUAACUACGUGCCAGCAGCCGCGGUAAUACGUAGGUCCCGAGCGUUAUCCGGAUUUAUUGGGCGUAAAGCGAGCGCAGGCGGUUAGAUAAGUCUGAAGUUAAAGGCUGUGGCUUAACCAUAGUACGCUUUGGAAACUGUUUAACUUGAGUGCAAGAGGGGAGAGUGGAAUUCCAUGUGUAGCGGUGAAAUGCGUAGAUAUUGGGAGGAACACCAGUAGCGAAGGCGGCUUUCUGGACUGCAACUGACACUGAGGCACGAAAGCGUGGGUAGCAAACAGG